Long non-coding RNA from Thalassophryne amazonica, 95 nucleotides. RefSeq lists it as uncharacterized. The record is from RefSeq and is a predicted model, not a curated record. The transcript is spliced from 3 exons. NCBI's taxonomy places the organism in Eukaryota, Metazoa, Chordata, Actinopteri, Batrachoidiformes, Batrachoididae.
UUUCAGAAAUGAUGAUGUCAUAGCCCUACCUUUGUAACCUCAGCCGCUCAUAAUAAAUGACAUGUUGUUGUUAAAUAUGUAAAUUAACAUACUUU